GACGAACGCUGGCGGCGUGCUUAACACAUGCAAGUCGAACGAUGAAGCCGGAGCUUGCUCCGGUGGAUUAGUGGCGAACGGGUGAGUAACACGUGAGCAAUCUGCCCUUGACUCUGGGAUAACUGCGGGAAACUGUAGCUAAUACCGGAUACGACACCUUGGGGCAUCCCAGGGUGUGGAAAGAAUUUCGGUCAAGGAUGAGCUCGCGGCCUAUCAGCUAGUUGGUGAGGUAAUGGCUCACCAAGGCGACGACGGGUAGCCGGCCUGCGAGGGUGACCGGCCACACUGGAACUGAGACACGGUCCAGACUCCUACGGGAGGCAGCAGUGGGGAAUAUUGCACAAUGGGCGAAAGCCUGAUGCAGCAACGCCGCGUGAGGGAUGAAGGCCUUCGGGUUGUAAACCUCCUUUAGCAGGGAAGAAGCGAAAGUGACGGUACCUGCAGAAAAAGCACCGGCUAACUACGUGCCAGCCGCCGCGGUAA
Molecule: ribosomal RNA, 483 nt
Filed under: uncultured bacterium
Lineage: Bacteria
Description: partial 16S ribosomal RNA
Rfam family: Bacterial small subunit ribosomal RNA
Source: RNAcentral